UUUUUUUUUUUUUUUUUUUAAAGCUGGAAUUAAAGUCCAGUUUCUGCAGCUUGUGUAUAGUGAGAUUUGCUGGCUAGCACCUGACAAAACUCUGAGAUUGUAAUGCUAAGGUUUAAUGGUUGUAUGGUGUGACUUUUAAUGGCAAUACUGAGGAAACUAAGAUAAAUUAAAACCUAAUUGGGAACGUUAACAGCUUUACCAGUCUACACAUAUGGACCCCAGGAGAACCCUUUGAAAGAUGUUACAGUUAGCUCCUAUUGCAGGGCUUCCAGCCUUGGUCGAUGACCUCAAAAUUUGCUCCACUCUUUGUGGCCUUUAAACACUACUAAGAUGUGCACCGCAGCGUGCACAAAUACAGUGGUAGGAUGCAGAAGGGGCUUUAUUUUCUCUUGCUAACAGAAAAGCAGCUUAUUCCACAUCUGCUCAGUAGGAUGUUGUGUAAUUUUCAACCACUGUUGCAACUUUAAUGAUUAUGUGCAAGCACGUUGCCUGAUCUUUCAAAACAGAGCCCAACACGAUCCACAAAGAAAAGACAUUGCCAAGGUCAAAGUAAGAUGGGCUUCCUACUGCAAAGCCACGACUACUUUUAAUGUGUGGAAAUACUGAAAGAAUAAUAUUUGACCUAAUAUUUCACAAAAAAGCACAGGUGGACCACGCCUGCCACAUUAGUACCAGGAGCAGCAUCAUCCAUCUUUGCUUCACGGGCAGAACUCAAGCAUGUGCCUUUGCAAGCCAGACAAUGACCCCAUUUAAUUUUUAAAUCCUUGAGCAUUUCUUUCUGACAGAGAGUGCCAUUGAUGAGCAAAGGCCAUUGGUGGGAGCCACCUUGCCUACUGGCACCUGAAGGAGGCCAGGUAUAGUCUAUGGUAUGGCACCCUCUACAGUCCCACUCGUGGAAAAUAGCAGUCUCCUGCCUCAGGCUUAUCUUUGCUGGCUCUUGCAGAUUUCCAGGCAUGGGAUAAUUGCCACGGCCAUAGGAAGCAGCAAAGUGGGGAAUUAGCAACACAAGGAGGAGGCUUCAGAACAGUCUGGGGAGACUCUGUCCUUACCCUUCCCAACCAUCCUCUGCUCAUCUCCUACAGCCAAAUCUUAGCAGCAUUCACCCCUCCUCAAGAGGAGCUUCUUUCGCACUGCAGGGCAUGAAGAGGACAGGAAAUAGCAGCAAAAGUCAGAGAAGACAGAGGAACAAGCAUCUAAUCCAGCAAAUGGGAAAAGAUGAGGAAAAAUGGGGAAAAAAAGAAUGAACAGAAGGAAUAUAUCAACACAGGAGAGCUGGUUGCCAUCUCUAACAGCUCAUGGUGCUGAAUGGUGAGAAAAAACUGAAGACUUGAAAAAAAAAUAUAGAAAAAAACCAUUUAGGAAGGGUUGUGUUUUAUUAUUCUGCUGCCCCGAGAGAGCUGCUGUCUUUCAUGGGUCACCUCAGCCUGAACCCAAAACAAACAUGGUGACAGUAAAUUACACCAACAGGUACCAAAUGUCUUCAUCCAGCCUGCAGAACAGGGACCAGCAAGCACAGCAGUGACUUGCAAACGAGUUAAGCAACAGCUUGCCUACUUCAGUUCCAAAAGGGCAUUUUCAUUUCACUCAGCUGUUUUUAAGUUAUUCAGAAUUAAAACCCCAGAGUGACACAGACUCAGCGAAUUGCUGGUGGCAUUAACUGUGGGAAAACACUUGAAGAGUAGUUGUAAUAUUCCUAAUUUCAACAUGUGCACACAUCCCUGAGGAUGCAGAGCAGCGCCCACUCUUGUGAGUCCUCCUGUAACUCCAUCCCCACCAAACCUCAUGCUGUAUGCCUCCAUUCUUAGCCCUGGCUCUCCUUGCUGGGGCCAUUCAUGUCUCCACAUUUAGGGAGCACAUUUAGAUGAUUCAGACACAUUCCCUGCUUGAUAUAGAGGCAUGUGUCAGAAGCUAGGUAAGGUCUCCUCCAAAACUCCCUGGCUGCAGUUGAGU
RNAcentral lists this long non-coding RNA (1950 nucleotides) under Gallus gallus (chicken). RNAcentral's name for it is "lncRNA (ENSGALG00010019548.1)". The record is from RNAcentral. Lineage: Eukaryota; Metazoa; Chordata; Aves; Galliformes; Phasianidae.